UACGUAGGGCGCAAGUGUUGUCCGGAAUUAUUGGGCGUAAAGAGCUUGUAGGCGGUUUGUCGCGUCUGCUGUGAAAAUCCGGGGCUCAACCCCGGACUUGCAGUGGGUACGGGCAGACUAGAGUGUGGUAGGGGAGACUGGAAUUCCUGGUGUAGCGGUGGAAUGCGCAGAUAUCAGGAGGAACACCGAUGGCGAAGGCAGGUCUCUGGGCCACUACUGACGCUGAGAAGCGAAAGCAUGGGGAGCGAACAGG
Molecule: ribosomal RNA, 253 nt
Filed under: uncultured bacterium
Lineage: Bacteria
Description: partial 16S ribosomal RNA
Rfam family: Bacterial small subunit ribosomal RNA
Source: RNAcentral